Molecule: ribosomal RNA, 477 nt
Filed under: Fusarium sp. 30436
Lineage: Eukaryota; Fungi; Ascomycota; Sordariomycetes; Hypocreales; Nectriaceae
Description: eukaryotic LSU rRNA
Rfam family: 5.8S ribosomal RNA (bases 122-275)
Source: RNAcentral
UGACAUACCACUUGUUGCCUCGGCGGAUCAGCCCGCUCCCGGUAAAACGGGACGGCCCGCCAGAGGACCCCUAAACUCUGUUUCUAUAUGUAACUUCUGAGUAAAACCAUAAAUAAAUCAAAACUUUCAACAACGGAUCUCUUGGUUCUGGCAUCGAUGAAGAACGCAGCAAAAUGCGAUAAGUAAUGUGAAUUGCAGAAUUCAGUGAAUCAUCGAAUCUUUGAACGCACAUUGCGCCCGCCAGUAUUCUGGCGGGCAUGCCUGUUCGAGCGUCAUUUCAACCCUCAAGCACAGCUUGGUGUUGGGACUCGCGUUAAUUCGCGUUCCUCAAAUUGAUUGGCGGUCACGUCGAGCUUCCAUAGCGUAGUAGUAAAACCCUCGUUACUGGUAAUCGUCGCGGCCACGCCGUUAAACCCCAACUUCUGAAUGUUGACCUCGGAUCAGGUAGGAAUACCCGCUGAACUUAAGCAUAUCAAA